RNAcentral lists this ribosomal RNA (876 nucleotides) under uncultured crenarchaeote. RNAcentral describes it as "bacterial SSU rRNA". It matches the Rfam family "Archaeal small subunit ribosomal RNA", at positions 21 to 903 of the family's 1478-position model. Lineage: Archaea; Thermoproteati; Thermoproteota. The record is from RNAcentral.
ACCUGACUGCUAUCGGAUUGAUACUAAGCCAUGCGAGUCAUUGUAGCAAUACAAGGCAUACGGCUCAGUAACGCGUAGUCAACCUAACCUAUGGACGGGAAUAACCUCGGGAAACUGAGAAUAAUGCCCGAUAGAACAUUAUACCUGGAAUGGUUUAUGUUCCAAAUGAUUUAUCGCCAUAGGAUGGGACUGCGGCCUAUCAGUUUGUUGGUGAGGUAAUGGCCCACCAAGACUAUUACAGGUACGGGCUCUGAGAGGAGUAGCCCGGAGAUGGGUACUGAGACACGGACCCAGGCCCUAUGGGGCGCAGCAGGCGAGAAAACUUUGCAAUGUGCGAAAGCACGACAAGGUUAAUCCGAGUGAUUUCUGCUAAAGAGAUCUUUUGUUAGUCCUAGAAACACUAACGAAUAAGGGGUGGGCAAGUUCUGGUGUCAGCCGCCGCGGUAAAACCAGCACCUCAAGUGGUCAGGAUGAUUAUUGGGCCUAAAGCAUCCGUAGCCGGCUCUGUAAGUUUUCGGUUAAAUCUGUACGCUCAACGUACAGGCUGCCGGGAAUACUGCAGAACUAGGGAGUGGGAGAGGUAGACGGUACUCGGUAGGAAGUGGUAAAAUGCUUUGAUCUAUCGAUGACCACCUGUGGCGAAGGCGGUCUACCAGAACACGUCCGACGGUGAGGGAUGAAAGCUGGGGGAGCAAACCGGAUUAGAUACCCGGGUAGUCCCAGCUGUAAACUAUGCAAACUCAGUGAUGCAUUGGCCUGUGGCCAAUGCAGUGCUGCAGGGAAGCCGUUAAGUUUGCCGCCUGGGAAGUACGUACGCAAGUAUGAAACUUAAAGGAAUUGGCGGGGGAGCACCACAAGGGGUGAAGCCUGCGGUUC